GUUGAUUAGAUUGUGCAUUGGAUUGUUGUGCU
RNAcentral lists this non-coding RNA (32 nucleotides) under Geobacter sulfurreducens KN400. The record is from RNAcentral. Lineage: Bacteria; Pseudomonadati; Thermodesulfobacteriota; Desulfuromonadia; Geobacterales; Geobacteraceae.